Molecule: small nucleolar RNA, 79 nt
Organism: Salvia splendens (bonfire salvia)
Lineage: Eukaryota; Viridiplantae; Streptophyta; Magnoliopsida; Lamiales; Lamiaceae
Product: small nucleolar RNA snoR20a
Exons: 1
Source: RefSeq, a predicted model, not a curated record
GCCUGUGAUGUUAACAUGUAUCUAACCUGAAAUUCAAUAUUAGUGAUGUUGAUUUCAUUUGACUAGGACGAACUGAGGC